RNAcentral lists this ribosomal RNA (433 nucleotides) under uncultured bacterium. Its description in RNAcentral is "partial 16S ribosomal RNA". It matches the Rfam family "Bacterial small subunit ribosomal RNA", at positions 28 to 507 of the family's 1533-position model. The record is from RNAcentral.
GACGAACGCUGGCGGCAUGCCUAACACAUGCAAGUCGAACGAGAACUCCGGGUUCAGUGGCGCACGGGUGCGUAACGCGUGGGAACAUGCCUUUGGAUCCGGACUAACUCCUCGAAAGGACUGCUAAUACCGGAUACUGUCUUCGGAUCAAAGAUGCAUCGCCUUGGGGUGGGCUCGAGUUGCUUUAGCUAGUGGGUAGGGUACAAGCCUUCCAAGGCGACGAUCCAUAUCUGGUCUGAGAGGGUGAUCAGCCACACUGAGACUGGGACACGGCCCAGACUCGAACGAGAGGCAGCGGAGAGGAAUAUUGGGGUAGGGGCGAAAGCCUGAUCCGGCAAGUCCGCGAGAGUGAUGAAGGCCUUAGGGUUGUAAAUCGCUUUUACCCAAGAUGUUAAUGACAGUACCGGGAAAAUAAGCUCCGGCUAACUCCGUG